Lepidothrix coronata (blue-crowned manakin) is the source of this 1035-nucleotide long non-coding RNA. RefSeq lists it as uncharacterized. The transcript is spliced from 4 exons. The record is from RefSeq and is a predicted model, not a curated record. NCBI's taxonomy places the organism in Eukaryota, Metazoa, Chordata, Aves, Passeriformes, Pipridae.
CGGCACCUGAGGCGCUGAGGGGGCGGAACGUGUGGGAGGGACCGGGAGCGGAGUGUGGCCGUGUCGUGCUCUCGCUGUUUCUCCCUCUUUCUCCUUUUUUUCUCCCUUUUUCUCCCUCUUUCUCCCUCUGUCCUUGUCGCUGUCCCCGGGAGCUGCGGGGCCGUUUGUGAGGGUACCGCCCUCUGCCCGUCCCGCUCGCCCGCUCGCCCUCAGCGGCCCCGGGGCCGUGAGGGCGCCGUGCCCGGAGAUGGCACCCGAGCGGUGCAGCCGCUUCGGACCGGUCAGGAGAGAGGGGGCAAAGCGGGACUGAAACUUUCCUCCCCCGAGAAGAGAAGCAGAAAUGCAAAACGUUGGGAUAAUUAAAUGCAGUUGUCUCGGAGGGGCUCAAGAAUGAUGCAGUGCUAAGGUGGAGUGGCCUCGCAGUCCUUCAUCUGCAGGGAAGGCUGGAGACGCUUCUUCAGGUCCAAAGUCUUCAAGCAAAAUGACCUGCUCCAACAUCAGUGAUGUCCACAGUGGGGCUGAUUAUGUCAGACACACUUAAAGCAGCUUUUCUGCAGCCAGAACCUCUGCCCGCUGAGGCUGCAGCGCAGGGAGCGGAUGCUCGCACAGAGAACAGGGGUGGGCUCUGCCAUCCCACCCUCUGGAGUCACUGCAAACCAGGGAUUUGGCACCGGGACCGCAACGCUGACACACGGGUACGAGCAGCAGGAGGGCAGGGAAGUGGAACAGAGCAUUUCAUCACACGUAGGUGGGCUCGAGGAGCGCUCUGAGCAUCAGCUUUGUAUUAGAGCUGCAGCCCAGCCCCACAGGGCAGCACAACUUGAGUAUCAAGGCCUUUCUGUGCAUCCUGCAGUGUUACCCCUGCACCCAAACCCCGUCUGCCUGCACUUCAACAGUUAUAUUUUCUAAACAGCACAACUUUACACUAAGGUCAUUUUCCAGAGACAGAGGUUUUGCUUUCUCCUGAGCUGUGAUUGUUUCUCCCUCAGCUCUAUAUGAGGUGUGGUACUCUAUUUAACAAAUUAUUAAAUGCUU